Long non-coding RNA from Corythoichthys intestinalis (scribbled pipefish), 603 nucleotides. RefSeq lists it as uncharacterized. The record is from RefSeq and is a predicted model, not a curated record. The transcript has 3 exons. NCBI's taxonomy places the organism in Eukaryota, Metazoa, Chordata, Actinopteri, Syngnathiformes, Syngnathidae.
UAUUUUUAUUAGCCUUAUGUAGUCAUGCGUAUAUAAAGAACAGUUUUGUAAAUUAAUUCUUACUUAAAAUGCAGCUGAAACCACUCAGCGUUGACCGGCGCUGCAGCGCUGUUUUCUUCAUGCACUGUCAAGCUGUAUGUGGCGCGAAACACUGUGAACUUUCAACCCUGAAGAUAAUGCAGACCUAACGUCUACAUUGGAAGAAAGCGCCAUCAGUCACAAAUGCUGCUUCGUCAUUGGUUAACUCAUAAGGGGGAGGCUGACCUAACGACGUCAAGUCGUACUACUCAUGAAGUUGGUGUCAGGAAGAAUGGAGGAAGAAACCGUUUCAGGACAAAAAAGAGGAUUGAAUGGCCCAGCAGGAAAUAAUAAAAAAGAGAUGCCCAAAAGAGCGCGAUACCCACCGAAGAAGAUGAGCUUUUAUGACCCAGACCCUGACUCACCCAGAGAUGACCAAGCUUACACCAUGCGCUGCAGUACGCUGGAUGAUUGGACACCAGUCGAAAAAAGCCUUGAUCAACAAAUGUCGCAUGAGGGGUACAACAUAAAUUCUAGACGUACUUAGACAUUUGUUGCAGUGUUCAAAGCCCUAAUACUGCUGGG